GGAGGGUUGGCUGAGCGGUCGAAAGCAUCGGUCUUGAAAACCGACGAGGGUGCGAGCCCUCCCAGGGUUCGAAUCCCUGGCCCUCCACCA
Molecule: transfer RNA, 90 nt
Filed under: Marinospirillum celere
Lineage: Bacteria; Pseudomonadati; Pseudomonadota; Gammaproteobacteria; Oceanospirillales; Oceanospirillaceae
Description: tRNA_Ser_TGA
Rfam family: tRNA
About the family: Transfer RNA (tRNA) molecules are approximately 80 nucleotides in length. Their secondary structure includes four short double-helical elements and three loops (D, anti-codon, and T loops).
Source: RNAcentral